GAUGAAGAACGUAGCGAAAUGCGAUACGUAAUGUGAAUUGCAAAUUCAGUGAAUCAUCGAGUCUUUGAACGCACAUUGCGCCCCCUGGUAUUCCGGGGGGCAUGCCUGUCCGAGCGUCAUUGCUGCCCUCAAGCACGGCUUGUGUGUUGGGCCCCGUCCUCCGAUCCCGGGGGACGGGCCCGAAAGGCAGCGGCGGCACCGCGUCCGGUCCUCGAGCGUAUGGGGCUUUGUCACCCGCUCUGUAGGCCCGGCCGGCGCUUGCCGAUCAACCCAAAUUUUUAUCCAGGUUGACCUCGGAUCAGGUAGGGAUGCCCGCUGAACUUAAGCAUAUCAAUAAGCGGAGGA
Molecule: unclassified non-coding RNA, 345 nt
Filed under: soil metagenome
Description: partial contains 5.8S ribosomal RNA, internal transcribed spacer 2, and large subunit ribosomal RNA
Rfam family: 5.8S ribosomal RNA (bases 1-119)
Source: RNAcentral